GCUGGCAGCUAGCUCUCUGCAACUCUCACAUGGUCACCCAUUUAAGCUAAGCAGAGCUGUGCCUGGUCAGUACAUGGAUGGGAGACCACAUGGGAAAGCUAGGUUGCUGCUGGAA
This 115-nucleotide ribosomal RNA is filed under the name Danio rerio (zebrafish). Lineage: Eukaryota; Metazoa; Chordata; Actinopteri; Cypriniformes; Danionidae. The record is from RNAcentral.